UACGAAGGGGGCUAGCGUUGCUCGGAAUCACUGGGCGUAAAGGGUGCGUAGGCGGGUCUUUAAGUCAGGGGUGAAAUCCUGGAGCUCAACUCCAGAACUGCCUUUGAUACUGAGAAGCUUGAGUCCGGGAGAGGUGAGUGGAACUGCGAGUGUAGAGGUGAAAUUCGUAGAUAUUCGCAAGAACACCAGUGGCGAAGGCGGCUCACUGGCCCGGUAUUGACGCUGAGGUGCGAAAGCGUGGGGAGCGAACAGG
Molecule: ribosomal RNA, 253 nt
Filed under: uncultured bacterium
Lineage: Bacteria
Description: partial 16S ribosomal RNA
Rfam family: Bacterial small subunit ribosomal RNA
Source: RNAcentral